UCGAGAAUUUUUCUCAAUGGGCGAAAGCCUGAAGGAGCGACGCCGCGUGGGGGAUGAAGGGCUUCGGCUUGUAAACCCCUGUCAUUUGCGAGCAAACCUUAUUUGUGAAUAGCAGAUGAGUUGAUAGUAGCGAAAGAGGAAGGGACGGCUAACUCUGUGCCAGCAGCCGCGGUAAUACAGAGGUCCCAAGCGUUGUUCGGAUUUACUGGGCGUAAAGGGUGCGUAGGCGGUCAUGCAAGUUUGAUGUGAAAUCUCCAGGCUUAACUUGGAAACUGCAUUGAAUACUGUGUGGCUUGAGGUUCGGAGGGGAGACUGGAAUUCUUGGUGUAGCAGUGAAAUGCGUAGAUAUCAAGAGGAACACCAGUGGCGAAGGCGAGUCUCUGGACGAAAUCUGACGCUG
RNAcentral lists this ribosomal RNA (400 nucleotides) under uncultured bacterium. RNAcentral's name for it is "bacterial SSU rRNA". It matches the Rfam family "Bacterial small subunit ribosomal RNA", at positions 355 to 748 of the family's 1533-position model. The record is from RNAcentral.